GCGGCUAUAGCUUAGUGGUAGAGUGUGUGCUUAGCAGGCACGAGGUACUGGGUUCAAUCCUCAGUGUCUCCU
This 72-nucleotide transfer RNA is filed under the name Camelus bactrianus (Bactrian camel). It matches the Rfam family "tRNA". Rfam says of the family: Transfer RNA (tRNA) molecules are approximately 80 nucleotides in length. Their secondary structure includes four short double-helical elements and three loops (D, anti-codon, and T loops). Further hydrogen bonds mediate the characteristic L-shaped molecular structure. tRNAs have two regions of fundamental functional importance: the anti-codon, which is responsible for specific mRNA codon recognition, and the 3' end, to which the tRNAs corresponding amino acid is attached (by aminoacyl-tRNA synthetases). tRNAs cope with the degeneracy of the genetic code in two manners: having more than one tRNA (with a specific anti-codon) for a particular amino acid; and 'wobble' base-pairing, i.e. permitting non-standard base-pairing at the 3rd anti-codon position. The record is from Rfam by way of RNAcentral. RNAcentral also lists the same sequence under 2 other names. Lineage: Eukaryota; Metazoa; Chordata; Mammalia; Artiodactyla; Camelidae.